CUACGGGUGGCACCAGAGAGGAAUAUUGCACAAUGGGGGGAACCCUGAUGCAGCAACGCCGCGUGGAGGAUGACGCAUUUUGGUGUGUAAACUCCUUUUAUAUGUCAAGAAAAUGACGGUAGCAUAUGAAUAAGCACCGGCUAACUCCGUGCCAGCAGCCGCGGUAAUACGGAGGGUGCAAGCGUUACUCGGAAUCACUGGGCGUAAAGGACGCGUAGGCGGGUUGGAAAGUCAGGUGUGAAAUCCUACAGCUUAACUGUAGAACUGCACUUGAAACUUCUAAUCUAGAGUAUGGGAGGGGGAGAUGGAAUUGGUGGUGUAGGGGUAAGAUCCGUAGAUAUCACUAGGAAUACCUAAAGCGAAGGCGAUCUCCUGGAACAUUACUGACGCUAAGGCGUGAAAGCGUGGGGAGCAAACAGGAUUAGAUACCCCGGUAGUC
Molecule: ribosomal RNA, 439 nt
Filed under: uncultured bacterium
Lineage: Bacteria
Description: partial 16S ribosomal RNA
Rfam family: Bacterial small subunit ribosomal RNA
Source: RNAcentral